Non-coding RNA from Perca fluviatilis (European perch), 82 nucleotides. The record is from the annotation of a RefSeq genome assembly. Lineage: Eukaryota; Metazoa; Chordata; Actinopteri; Perciformes; Percidae.
GCCCCGCAGCUAGCUCAUUCGGUAGAGCAUGAGACUCUUAAUCUCAGGGUCGUGGGUUCGGAGCCCCACCACCGUUGGGGCG